Molecule: non-coding RNA, 86 nt
Organism: Meloidogyne enterolobii
Lineage: Eukaryota; Metazoa; Nematoda; Chromadorea; Rhabditida; Meloidogynidae
Source: the annotation of a GenBank genome assembly
GCCCCGGUAGCUCAGUGGUAGUUCCUAUGGGCGGUAAGCUAAAGCGCCUACGAAGAGGUCGCAGGUUCGAAUCCUGCUCAGAGGCU